Molecule: ribosomal RNA, 1242 nt
Filed under: metagenome
Description: bacterial LSU rRNA
Rfam family: Bacterial large subunit ribosomal RNA
Source: RNAcentral
UGAAUACGAGAUGCUACGGCGUCGAAGCAGUCUAUGUCAUACUUCCAAGAAAAGCUUGCACUGUCAUAAACAAAUAAUGCCUGUACCAUAACCGACACAGGUGGGUAGGUAGAGUAUACUAAGGGGCGCGAGAUAACUCUCUCUAAGGAACUCGGCAAAAUGACUCCGUAACUUCGGGAGAAGGAGUGCCUUAUUUUAUAAGGUUGCAAUAACAAGAUCCAAGCAACUGUUUACCAAAAACACAGGUCUCCGCUAAGUCGUAAGACGAUGUAUGGGGGCUGACGCCUGCCCAGUGCCAGAAGGUUAAAGAAGUUGGUUAGCAUCCGCGAAGCUGAUAACUGAAGCCCUGGUGAACGGCGGCCGUAACAAUAACGGUCCUAAGGUAGCGAAAUUCCUUGUCGGGUAAGUUCCGACCCGCACGAAAGGCGUAAUGAUUUGGAUACUGUCUCAGAGAGGGGCUCGGUGAAAUAGACUUGUCUGUGAAGAUGCGGACUACCUGCACCAGGACAGAAAGACCCUAUGAAGCUUUACUGUAACUUGAAAUUGAAAUUGGACUUUACUUGCGCAGUAUAGGUGGGAGGCGUUGAGAAUAUUCUUGCGGGAAUGUUGGAGCCAUCAGUGAGAUACCACUCUUGUAAUGUUAGAUUUCUAACUUUGUAUCAUUAUCUGGUCAAAGGACAGUUUCAGGCGGGCAGUUUGACUGGGGCGGUCGCCUCCCAAACGGUAACGGAGGCGCACAAAGGUUUCCUCUGAACGGGUAGAAAUCGUAUCUAGAGUGUAAAGGCAUAAGGAAGCUUGACUGUGAGACCUACAAGUCGAGCAGGGACGAAAGUCGGUCUUAGUGAUCUGACGGUGCUGAGUGGAAAGGCCGUCACUCAACGGAUAAAAGUUACUCUAGGAUAACAGGCUGAUCUCCCCCAAGAGUUCACAUCGACGGGGAGGUUUGGCACCUCGAUGUCGGCUCAUCGCAUCCUGGGGCGGUAGUACGUCCCAAGGGUUGGGCUGUUCGCCCAUGAAAGCGGUACGCGAGCUGGGUUCAGAACGUCGUGAGACAGUUCGGUCCAUAUCCGGUGUAGGCGUUAGAAUAUUGAGAGGAGCCUUCUUUAGUACGAGAGGACCGAGAAGGACAUACCUCUGGUGUACCAGUUAUCGUGCCAACGGUAAACGCUGGGUAGCUAUGUAUGGAGUGGAUAACCGCUGAAAGCAUCUAAGUGGGAAGCCCACCUCAAGAUAAGUAUUCAC